Molecule: unclassified non-coding RNA, 217 nt
Filed under: soil metagenome
Description: partial contains 5.8S ribosomal RNA, internal transcribed spacer 2, and large subunit ribosomal RNA
Source: RNAcentral
AACCUAGCACACCUGCGGUGUGUACCUGCGGAGGGAUCAUUACAAGUGACCCCGGUCUAACCACCGGGAUGUUCAUAACCCUUUGUUGUCCGACUCUGUUGCCUCCGGGGCGACCCUGCCUUCGGGCGGGGGCUCCGGGUGGACACUUCAAACUCUUGCGUAACUUUGCAGUCUGAGUAAACUUAAUUAAUAAAUUAAAACUUUUAACAAUGGAUCU